UAGACGUGCUAGGCGCGGGCUCUGGCGCAGUGCGCAGCCCGCACGACUGUGCCAGGGUACCACUGCCUGAGUGUGCAUCUACGCUCUCUUGCCAGCACCCGACCCGCCGACGCUCAGCGGCGCCGAGUGCUACGCCUGUAUCGGGGUCCACCAGGAUGAAUGCGCUAUCGGCAGGUCCCGACGGGUCCAGUGUCACCAGGACCAGACCGCCUGCUUCCAGGGCAAUGGCAGAAUGACAGUCGGCAAUUUCUCAGUCCCUGUGUACAUCAGAACCUGCCACCGGCCCUCCUGUACCACCGAGGGCACCACCAGCCCCUGGACAGCCAUUGACCUCCAGGGCUCCUGCUGUGAGGGGUACCUCUGCAACAGGAAAUCCAUGACCCAGCCUUUCACCAGUGCUUCAGCCACCACCCCUCCCCGAGCACUACAGGUCCUGGCCCUGCUCCUCCCAGUCCUCCUGCUGGUGGGGCUCUCAGCAUAGACCGCCCCUCCAGGAUGCUGGGAACAGGGUUCACACACUUCAUUCUUGCUGCUUCAGCCCCUAUCACGUAGCUCACUGGAAAAUGAUGGAAAAU
RNAcentral lists this small RNA (575 nucleotides) under Pan troglodytes (chimpanzee). RNAcentral's name for it is "retained intron". The record is from RNAcentral. Lineage: Eukaryota; Metazoa; Chordata; Mammalia; Primates; Hominidae.